RNAcentral lists this long non-coding RNA (594 nucleotides) under Phoenix dactylifera (date palm). RNAcentral describes it as "long non-coding RNA (PDAC_LNC008990)". Lineage: Eukaryota; Viridiplantae; Streptophyta; Magnoliopsida; Arecales; Arecaceae. The record is from RNAcentral.
UUCAACUCAACCCAACAAGUACUUCCUUCGCAAUUAAGGCUCUACUACUGUCAUUCAAUCUUCUGUGCAUUCAAGAGAAGACUCAGAAAUCGAGAAGCUCCUACUUCCCCUUCCGAAAUCUAUUUGAGGGCUUCUAAUCUUUCUCUAUUAAUAUUGUUCACAUUUGCUUUAUAAAAGCUUUCCUUGUGAUUUUCCCAAAUUGUUUUUCUUACUUGAUUCAAUCAGAGGAUUGAAUCAAGGGUGGUAAGUGUUGCCCAGAUAGACAACCCAAGAGGGGGGGUGAAUUGGAUUUUAAAAUAAUUAUUACAAUUAAAUGGUUUGUGAAAUACUAAUUAAUACUUUUUGCAAGUUGAUUAAUUAGAUGCUAUGUGCAGUGAAUAAAAUGAAAGUAAAGUACGACAAGGCAAUCACAAACACAAUGAUUUUAUAGUGGUUCGGAGCUAACCCUUGCUCCUACGUCCACUCCCCAAGCCUCACUUGGGAAUUCACUAUAACCCCUUGGAUUACAGCCGGUUGUUUUACAAGCUCAUAACCUAACUUGUUGUUUUACGAGAUCACAACGAACUCGGUCGAUUUUUCCAGGCUCACCGACUA